RNAcentral lists this long non-coding RNA (1237 nucleotides) under Hordeum vulgare. Its description in RNAcentral is "long non-coding RNA (HVUL_LNC013498)". Lineage: Eukaryota; Viridiplantae; Streptophyta; Magnoliopsida; Poales; Poaceae. The record is from RNAcentral.
GUAACUUCACUGAGAUCAUGCAUGCUCCUUAUAAGCUAGGGAUUAAAGUUCUUAGGAUUAACUGUAUCAUCGAGCCGCGAGACGCCGCUUUUACUAUUAUAAUAACUUCAACUCUUCUCUUCAAAUAAUGCAAUCCAAGGAUUAUUUUGACAUAUAGAUGUUGAUGUCCCAAGCUGAAUUUCAAGAUACUCGUGGCAGGAAUUUCCCCCAUAAGUGUUGUGGUUUAAUUCGCUAUACUGUUAGAAUUUCGCGAGGAAGGCGUCUGUCGCCGCCUCACCGGGGUGGUGCUGAGUCAACUAAAAGUCUGAGGCACUAAUAUGUGUGCAUUACCUACUGCUGUAUAUUUUUCAGUCAUGCACUCUGUUCUCUUAAUGAUUAACUGUGAACGAAAUGGAUCAGGGCAAUAAUGCUCAUGUGCUAGAACAGAACUCUAGAAACUUGAAUGGAAAGAAGCUUUAAAGCAGGGUAUUACUGAUAAAUUAUGUUGCAUAUUGUUAUUAUAAGUCGUAUAGGUUGCCAAAGUGAUGGCAUAAGGUCACGGUCUCUUAAAAUGUGCUUAACCUGAUUAUCUCAUCACUUGAUUGAUAUGAACAAAUGGUAAAUUCUGUAGCUUUUAAUAAUGGUGGUGCAGGCUGCAGGCUAAAAUUGAGCAUGUUAAUGUAUCAGGGAAGACUGCAUUCUGAGAUCAAUCGACAUGUUAAUCUGGAAUAAAAGAAAAUAGCACUAAGCUUCUCAACAUGGACAUUCUCGACAGCUAGGUAAUUAUAUAAAAUAUCCUUAUCUAUAUCUACUGAAGUUUAUGUAUGUAUGUGCAAUUUAUCCAUUACUUUACAUCCUUGGUCCUCAUGGUGCUGCCACUGAAGUACAGUAGAUCAUAUGCAUUUUACUGAAGUCGGAGUAAUGCCAGUUCUCCACUCAGCGCAAUGUCCCUGUGAAACGUAUAUGAUUCUACUCUUCAUUGAUGCAACUGAUGUACUGCCACACAAGGACAAAUACUUUAGUUGUGUACUAUAGGAAAAACAUGAUUCUUCCAUCCUGAGACUGGGUGAGGUGUUUGUUUUGGAACUUUGUACGUAAUCCAUUAACAGCGGUAUCAAAUGACGCUGAAUCUUGUUUGGUUAGUUUUGGCUGUAAUCACAAACCAUGGGAUCAGCUACCGAUCAAAAUCGUGUCGUAACAGAAACCGGAGCUGCCCUCUCGCGUCCAUUCUAAAACUGUUACCACGUCUUCCUUAUCC